RNAcentral lists this long non-coding RNA (2616 nucleotides) under Sorghum bicolor (sorghum). Its description in RNAcentral is "long non-coding RNA (SBIC_LNC001610)". The record is from RNAcentral. Lineage: Eukaryota; Viridiplantae; Streptophyta; Magnoliopsida; Poales; Poaceae.
CACUUUCCCCGGCCAUCUACAGCAUUCACAGCCCCAGCAGCACCCGCCACCACCACCUCUAACAUCGGACUCGACGUCGACAUUGAUAGCGCACAGGAGUUGUUUGACGGAAUACCCAUGAGGUAACCAGCGCGUCCUUUGGUCCCAAAAUGUUUGCGGCUUUGCUUAUCUCUUCACUCAUUCACUCAUUUCCAUGAUCCAACUCUUGGUUUUCCAUUCCAUGAGCUGUGACAAUGAUGCAACUCAUAGUUUUGGUCCUUUGGUUCGUGGCCAUCUUAAAGUUGAUUUUGGAGAUAAUUAUGGUUUCAAAUUACACCAAUAUGACUCUUAAUUUGUCUUUCUGUUUCACUCACUCGCAAAUUAUGUUGUUCUGCAUCUAUUUGUAUUUCCAGUUUUGUUCUCUUCAAGGUCAUUUGAAUACAUCCUGCUAUAUGAUCAUGAAGCUGAAUAGCUAAUAUAUUAGCUAUGUGGUUUUGUUGGCAUAUUUUGCUAGGCUAUUGAAAAUUAGGAUUCCAUGGUGCCAACUGCCAAGCCAUAGGGAAAAACACGAAUCUUGGUCUUCAGGCUCUGGCUGAUCACAUCCUCAUAAGAAGGCAGCCAAGGUCCUUAGUGGGUUUUUUUUAGUGCAUAUUCUUGUUAAGUUUGUCACGUGACUGGAUUGUAAGCCAUACUUUUUCUGCCAAUCAGCAGUGUUUUUCUCUCACAAUAAAUCAGCAAACAGUACCUUCAGCCAUAAUUUUUCAAACUGUACAUGUGCAAUUGACUUAGGCAACGUUCUGCCUAGAUCUAGUAUUAUCCAAAGCAAAUUUAUGAUAGCUUUCUAUUCUGACAAUGGUUAAUUGUAGCUUGUUAUUUAGUUAUUCUUUGUUCUUCUAUUUCAUUCUUUUCUUGUAAAUUUGUAAAGGUCAAUUGGGAUUUAACUGGCUAUAUGCAAGAUUGUUACUCAGAUGCAUUAGCUAAUCCAUAAUUGUUUGCUCUGAUGUGUUGGCCUGCUCUGUACAAAGACCUACAAUUUCAGUUAAUUGCUAUACAUUUUUCCUUCAGCACAUUAUGGUUGUUCAUCUCUGAAAAUUUUUGUAGGAUUGUUAAUAUGAAAUAAUUUUGGUUCUGACCCAUGCCUGUGAAUCUUUGAUGCAUCACUGGUUUGUAUUCCUGGUAUGUCAUACAUAUUUUCUGCUAAGCUCAACCCCUUCUUGUGCCCCAAGAAAAAUCUAAUAAAAGCUCAGAAAAUAAGAAGUCACACAAGCAUAGAUACUUUUCUGUGCUAAUAUUUAGUCUUUUUUUUGAGAGGUGCUAAUAUUUAAUCUUGAUGAUACAAAAGAAGGGAUCAAUGGCAUCAUUGGGUUAUGCUUUCUUUAUCCUAUGGGUGUGUGUUUCCACCAUUGCUGAUUUUAGGACAUCACCAUACCACUGCCCAACUGUUUAUUCAUUUUUAUCUACUGUAAAAAAAACAUAAUAAUGUAUGCAGCUAGAGUUUUUAAUCCUUUAGCUUUUGUCAUGCUCAUCGGCAAGUCAUAUCAUGAUAAGUUCUCAGUUUGGUGAUGGAAAAUUGUUGAUUAUGGCUAAUGAGAAUGGAGAAUAGAUUUGUCAAUAGGAAGCACACAGAGAAAAUGAAAUUGCACAUCUGUUUUUAGCUAGGAAGGCAGUAUAUGUUAUGAAAGAAGCUUAGAGAACUUUUGAGUCGUGCCUUGUGAAACAGAUUAUAAUAUUGUCAUGCUUUAUCAGAUGUCACUCAUUCUUUGAAGUGUUAUCAUUUUGUUUGUCAAUGCUUGAAGGUUGUAGGUGACAGGGGACUCAAGCUACUGCUAGCGACCUUCAUUUUUAGUGUCAUUGUUAGUGCUAACCUAUAAAGAAUCAACUAAUUGCUUUGGGCCUCGAUGUUAUCAUUGAAUUUGAGGGUUCCUCAAAAAGUCAAAAUUUUCCUUUCUCUAGGGUUUCCCGAAUUUUCUGAAAUCGUUGUUAAAGUGCUCAAUCUUUUAAGAUGUUUUUGGUCAAAUAUAUUCUACAUAAUCUAUCAAAGUUGUGAUUCCAAUUUCAUGUCAAUUGUAAUUGGAUUUGUUUUUGUUGAUUUUGUCAAAUAGAUCGAGCUGAUGUUUUCUCUGUUUAGUCUCCAGCAGCAGCUUGUGAUCUCUUUGUUUUGUUUUUCAGUGUUUCAGUCUAGCAGCUGCUCAACUCUCCUUUCAUUUGUUUUUCAGUUUGUAAGCAGCGCAACUCUCCUUUCAUUUUCAGACCAGUGGUAGCAGUUUGCUCAACUCGAUUUCAUUUUCUCUUUGCAGUACUAUAGCAGCAACAGAUCGACACCUUUCUAUUUUGGUGCCCAGCAAUUUGACAACAGCAAAGCUAACAGAAGCAGCAUCUCGGAACUCUUCUCAAUUGGUCAGAUCGCCAGGAGCCACAGGUUCAGUGCAACAACAUUCCAUUCUUUUGCUUGCAUGCUUAGCCAGUGGUACUCUAUGCUGAGGUCGUUUGCUUAUUCAAGCACUAUACAUUGUUGUUAUUAAGCUGAGUUAAACUUUAUUUGUCUCGUCACUAUUUCUUUUCCAUACUCUUAUUGUAUUGAAAAUUUAAGGCUUUGUAAAACACACGGGCAUAGAGCUCAAGACGCCAAUGUAUGGG